Molecule: long non-coding RNA, 607 nt
Organism: Neofelis nebulosa (Clouded leopard)
Lineage: Eukaryota; Metazoa; Chordata; Mammalia; Carnivora; Felidae
Exons: 2
Source: RefSeq, a predicted model, not a curated record
GUGCUCAGGAAAGCUCGCGAAAGGAAACGUUCGUGUCGUCCGCAGAUGGCAUUUUACCUGGUCGAGUGAAACCCUGUUUGAAAAAUUUAUUUGUUUGUUUGUUUGUUUGUUUGGCAUUAUGGAGUGUCCGGGAUAGGAAUGUUUUUGUAAUUUAUAAAGGAUAUCGGUUUUUCAACAUCUUGUUAAGGGAGGAUAUAAAAAGGGGUAAAAUAUAAGGGAAAACGGAAAUAUUAUACAAAGCGUACCUAUAGGAGGCUUGUCAUUUGAUGCGAGUGAAGGUGAGCCUUCCCCUGGUGUAUAAAAGGUACAUAAAAGGUAGUCUAGAAAGUCCAGAGUAAAUCAAGUGAAACUGCUGUUCCUUUAGCCUCCUGUCUGUGCUCCGUGGGGUGGUCACCCACUUUGGAGCCUGUCACUUUCCCAGCUGUUGCUGGCAGUGUUUUCAGCUAUAUGUCUGUGUACAUCUGUCCUUUUCCUUCUCCUGGGAGAAUCUCUCAAAUCGGCUGCUUUUGUUGUCAUUACGCUUUCAGACAAACCUUCUGGAAUAUAAUGAAAAAAAAAAAAAAGUGAAAUGCCAAAUGAGGUGCUACCAGCUUAAUCGACUUCCAGC